Molecule: transfer RNA, 77 nt
Filed under: Porphyromonadaceae bacterium
Lineage: Bacteria; Pseudomonadati; Bacteroidota; Bacteroidia; Bacteroidales; Porphyromonadaceae
Description: tRNA-Arg
Rfam family: tRNA
About the family: Transfer RNA (tRNA) molecules are approximately 80 nucleotides in length. Their secondary structure includes four short double-helical elements and three loops (D, anti-codon, and T loops).
Source: RNAcentral
GGUCGAGUAGCUCAGCUGGAUAGAGCAACAGCCUUCUAAGCUGUGGGUCGUGGGUUCGAAUCCCGCCUCGAUCACGA